CCGAGCGCGACCGCCUGAUCGGCGGAGCGCGCCUGGACCGCGCUUCGGCCAAGGAUUACCGGCAGACCCUCGGCUCGGGUAUGAGCGCCCGGCCCA
Molecule: transfer RNA, 96 nt
Filed under: compost metagenome
Description: tRNA-Pro
Source: RNAcentral